Molecule: ribosomal RNA, 841 nt
Filed under: uncultured candidate division GN03 bacterium
Lineage: Bacteria
Description: bacterial SSU rRNA
Rfam family: Bacterial small subunit ribosomal RNA
Source: RNAcentral
AGGUACCUCCAAAGGAAGCUCCGGCUAACUCCGUGCCAGCAGCCGCGGUAAUACGGAGGGAGCAAACGUUGUUCGGAUUUACUGGGUGUAAAGGGUGCGUAGGCGGCUACGUGUGUCAGAGGUGAAAGCUCACGGCCCAACCGUGGAACUGCCUUUGAAACUGCGUACUUGAGUCCGAGAGAGGAUGGUGGAAUUCCUGGUGUAACGGUGAAAUGUGCAGAUAUCAGGAAGAACACCGGUGGCGAAGGCGGCCAUCUGGCUCGGUACUGACGCUGAGGCACGAAAGCUAGGGUAUCGAACGGGAUUAGAUACCCCGGUAGUCCUAGCCGUAAACGAUGUCCACUAGGUGUCGGAGGUCCUACCCCUUCGGUGCCGGAGCUAACGCAUUAAGUGGACCACCUGGGGAGUACGCUCGCAAGGGUGAAACUCAAAGGAAUUGACGGGGGCCAGCACAAGCGGUGGAGCAUGUGGUUUAAUUCGAUGCUACACGAAGAACCUUACCUGGGCUUGGCAUGUAGGUAGUAGUGAAGCGAAAGCGGAACGACCCUUCGGGGAGCUUACACAGGUGCUGCAUGGCUGUCGUCAGCUCGUGCCGUGAGGUGUCGGGUUAAGUCCCGUAACGAGCGCAACCCCUGUCCUUAGUUAUACGUGUCUAAGGAGACUGCCCGGGACAACUGGGAGGAGGGUGGGGAUGACGUCAAGUCAUCAUGGCCUUUAUGCCCAGGGCUACACACGUGCUACAAUGGCCGGUACAGAGGGUAGCGAAGCCGCGAGGUGAAGCCAAUCCCAGAAAGCUGGUCCCAGUUCGGAUUGGAGUCUGGAACUCGACUCCAUGAAGGUG